UAGGUGGGGCGAUCUGUCGCACCACGGCUGCGAAGCCGGGGUGAGGAAAGUCCGGACAGGAUAGGGCACCCCGCUGGGGAAAUCCCAGAUGGGAGCAAUCUUAUCGCACCGUAACAGAAAACAACCGCCCGGGAAACCGGGUAAGGGUGAAAACGCGAGGCAAGAGCUCACGACGUAACGGGGCGACCCGCUGCGGGUACGGUGCCGGGGCCUGCAAGACCAAAUAUACCGGCAAAUGAGGACGGCCCGUCCGAUGCCGGGGGGUAGGUUGCGAAGAUAAAUGACAGAUUCAAAAACAGAAACCGGCUUACGGCCCCACCUUUUUU
RNAcentral lists this RNase P RNA (326 nucleotides) under Bacteroidales bacterium. RNAcentral describes it as "RNase P RNA component class A". It matches the Rfam family "Bacterial RNase P class A". Rfam says of the family: Ribonuclease P (RNase P) is a ubiquitous endoribonuclease, found in archaea, bacteria and eukarya as well as chloroplasts and mitochondria. Lineage: Bacteria; Pseudomonadati; Bacteroidota; Bacteroidia; Bacteroidales. The record is from RNAcentral.